UGGGGAAUUUUGGACAAUGGGCGAAAGCCUGAUCCAGCAAUGCCGCGUGUGUGAAGAAGGCCUUCGGGUUGUAAAGCACUUUUGUCCGGAAAGAAAUCCUCUGGGUUAAUACCUCGGGGGGAUGACGGUACCGGAAGAAUAAGCACCGGCUAACUACGUGCCAGCAGCCGCGGUAAUACGUAGGGUGCAAGCGUUAAUCGGAAUUACCGGGCGUAAAGCGUGCGCAGGCGGUUUUGUAAGACGGAUGUGAAAUCCCCGGGCUUAACCUGGGAACUGCAUUCGUGACUGCAAGGCUAGAGUAUGGCAGAGGGGGGUAGAAUUCCACGUGUAGCAGUGAAAUGCGUAGAGAUGUGGAGGAAUACCGAUGGCGAAGGCAGCCCCCUGGGCCAAUACUGACGCUCAUGCACGAAAGCGUGGGGAGCAAACAGGAUUAGAUACCCUGGUAGUCCACGCCCUAAACGAUGUCAACUAGUUGUUGGGGAUUCAUUUCCUUAGUAACGUAGCUAACGCGUGAAGUUGACCGCCUGGGGAGUACGGUCGCAAGAUUAAAACUCAAAGGAAUUGACGGGGUCAUAGCUGUUUCCU
RNAcentral lists this ribosomal RNA (585 nucleotides) under uncultured bacterium. RNAcentral describes it as "partial 16S ribosomal RNA". It matches the Rfam family "Bacterial small subunit ribosomal RNA", at positions 355 to 1375 of the family's 1533-position model. The record is from RNAcentral.